GACGAACCGAGCGAACGUUAUUCGGAAUCACUGGGCUUAAAGGGCGCGUAGGCGGGCCCGAGUCCGGGGUGAAAGCCCCCAGCCCAACUGGGGAAGUGCCUCGGAUACUGCCGGCCUCGAGGGAGGUAGGGGCGUGCGGAACUUCCGGUGGAGCGGUGAAAUGCGUAGAUAUCGGAAGGAACACCGGUGGCGAAAGCGGCGCGCUGGACCUCUUCUGACGCUGAGGCGCGAAAGCCAGGGGAGCGAACGGG
This 251-nucleotide ribosomal RNA is filed under the name uncultured bacterium. Its description in RNAcentral is "partial 16S ribosomal RNA". It matches the Rfam family "Bacterial small subunit ribosomal RNA", at positions 524 to 776 of the family's 1533-position model. The record is from RNAcentral.